CAAAGAAAGAGCGAAAAAAAAAAAAAAAAAAAAAAAAA
Molecule: non-coding RNA, 38 nt
Filed under: Akashiwo sanguinea
Lineage: Eukaryota; Dinophyceae; Gymnodiniales; Gymnodiniaceae
Source: RNAcentral